Molecule: ribosomal RNA, 250 nt
Filed under: uncultured bacterium
Lineage: Bacteria
Description: partial 16S ribosomal RNA
Rfam family: Bacterial small subunit ribosomal RNA
Source: RNAcentral
UACGUAGGUGGCGAGCGUUACCCGGAUUGAUUGGGCGUAAAGGGUCUGUAGGCGGUUUGAAUAGUCGUUGGUCAAAUCUUGAGGCUUAACUUCAAGACUGCCAAUGAUACUCUCAAACUAGAGACUGGGAGAGGCAAACGGAAGUGCCGGUGUAGUAGUAAAAUGCGUUGAUAUCGGCAGGAACACCAAAAGCGAAGGCAGUUUGCUAGAACAGUUCUGACGCUCAGGGACGAAAGCAUGGGUAGCGAAU